Molecule: ribosomal RNA, 403 nt
Filed under: uncultured bacterium
Lineage: Bacteria
Description: bacterial SSU rRNA
Rfam family: Bacterial small subunit ribosomal RNA
Source: RNAcentral
AGGGAAUAUUGGACAAUGGGGGCAACCCUGAUCCAGCCAUGCCGCGUGAGUGAAGAAGGCCCUCGGGUUGUAAAGCUCUUUUGUCCGGAAAGAAAAGCUUCGGGUUAAUACCCCGGGGUUCUGACGGUACCGGAAGAAUAAGCACCGGCUAACUUCGUGCCAGCAGCCGCGGUAAUACGAAGGGUGCAAGCGUUACUCGGAAUUACUGGGCGUAAAGCGUGCGUAGGUGGUUGUUUAAGUCUGAUGUGAAAGCCCUGGGCUCAACCUGGGAAUGGCAUUGGAAACUGUGCAGCUAGAGUGCGGUAGAGGGUAGUGGAAUUCCCGGUGUAGCAGUGAAAUGCGUAGAGAUCGGGAGGAACAUCUGUGGCGAAGGCGACUGCCUGGACCAGCACUGACACUGAGG